AUUCUUUAUGUAUCCAUGUAUCUCAGUUUCUGUUAACUGACCCCACUUAUCUAGAAUUGGCAGAGGGAAAAAGGCACAUGAAAAAUUAGAUACAGAGAAAUUCAUAUACAAGUGAAAUGAUUUCUUGGGCGAGAUGAAUAAAGGUAAACGCAGUAGAAAGACACGUAGCAGAUAACUAGAUGCAGUCUUGUAGGCUAACCUGAGGUUUUACUUCAACAAUGUGUUGGCCACUCUUGACUGAAACGGGUUCAUUUGCCAGAACACUCUCAAGGUGAUCAUGAAGUUCCUUAGCCUGACACGAGCCAAAAUCUGGAUCUGCAAGCUGGUAAUUCCAGACGAG
RNAcentral lists this long non-coding RNA (340 nucleotides) under Salvia miltiorrhiza (redroot sage). RNAcentral describes it as "long non-coding RNA (SMIL_LNC008315)". The record is from RNAcentral. Lineage: Eukaryota; Viridiplantae; Streptophyta; Magnoliopsida; Lamiales; Lamiaceae.